AUGAGGAGGUUGUGGAAAAUGUUUCUGAGAAGGAUGAAAAUGAGAAUGGGAGUGAUGGAGGAUCGGAUGUUGGUGCAACUGGAAAUGAGAAUAAUGAGGAGGCGGAGUAUGUGGGUGGAAAUGUGGAAAAUAGUAGCGUCAGAAAUGAUGUUAAGGGGAGUCAUGAUGUUUGUAUGGAAGAGACUGUAUAUUAUAAUGAUGAAAUUGGGAAGGAUGCGGUCAAGAAUAAAAUUUCGGGAAGUGAGGAUAAGGAGGUUGAGCCAAAAGGCGAGGAAGUGGGGAAUAAGAUAGAAAUGGAAAAUUUGAUUGCAAAGGAGGAGGAGGAGUUGUCGUGAUAGUUUUGUGAUUGAGAUUGUGCAGGACAAAGUGGCCGAAGUAAAGGAUGAAGAAUCAAACUUAGGGAAGAGCAUUGGCAGCGGUG
Molecule: unclassified non-coding RNA, 421 nt
Filed under: Hevea brasiliensis (rubber tree)
Lineage: Eukaryota; Viridiplantae; Streptophyta; Magnoliopsida; Malpighiales; Euphorbiaceae
Source: RNAcentral